Molecule: long non-coding RNA, 282 nt
Filed under: Rattus norvegicus (Norway rat)
Lineage: Eukaryota; Metazoa; Chordata; Mammalia; Rodentia; Muridae
Description: long non-coding RNA NONRATT003286
Source: RNAcentral
GCACCAGGGCCCCUGAGCCUGGCUUGUCAAACUCUGCUGCUGCCAGCCAAUGGUCUCUCUGCCCUACAGAGGAGGAGCAGAGGCGGGCCGCCCACCUCAAUGGGCUGCAGGUAUCCACAGGCUCGGCUGUGGCCUGCUCAACCCCGGUGCAGUGCCUGUCCCCAGAAUGUAGCGAACAGCCCCUGCAGAACCAGCCUAGCCCCACAGCUGGGGUAGGGGAUGAAGAACGCCAACAAAUUGUGCCUCACACAGAAGUGGUAGACCUCAAGGCCCAGCUGCAGG